RNAcentral lists this ribosomal RNA (566 nucleotides) under uncultured archaeon. Its description in RNAcentral is "bacterial SSU rRNA". It matches the Rfam family "Archaeal small subunit ribosomal RNA", at positions 326 to 896 of the family's 1478-position model. The record is from RNAcentral.
CGGGGUGCAGCAGGCGCGAAAACUUUACAAUGCUGGCAACAGCGAUAAGGGGACCUCGAGUGCCAGGAUACAAUCUUGGCUGUCGCGAUGCCUAAAAAGCAUUGCAUAGCAAGGGCCGGGCAAGACCGGUGCCAGCCGCCGCGGUAACACCGGCGGCUCGAGUGGUAACCGCUAUUAUUGGGUCUAAAGGGUCUGUAGCCGGCCGGAUAAGUCUCUUGGGAAAUCCAGCUGCUCAACAGUUGGGCUUUCAGGAGAUACUGUUCGGCUCGAGACCGGGAGAGGUGAGAGGUACUUCAGGGGUAGGGGUGAAAUCUUGUAAUCCUUGAAGGACCACCAGUGGCGAAGGCGUCUCACCAGAACGGAUCUGACGGCAAGGGACGAAAGCUAGGGGCACGAACCGGAUUAGAUACCCGGGUAGUCCUAGCCGUAAACGAUACUCGCUAGGUGUCAGCCACGGUGCGACCGUGGUUGGUGCCGUAGGGAAGCCGUGAAGCGAGCCACCUGGGAAGUACGGCCGCAAGGCUGAAACUUAAAGGAAUUGGCGGGGGAGCACAAGGGCGAAUCGC